CCCUCCUACCUAUUCGGCUGAAAGGUUGGUUAUGAAUCACCCGAGGCCAGUUCGUAAUGAAAUUUUCGAAGAUAUCAUUCCUCCUCCGGGGGAUAAUGGAGUACCGGAGUUCACUUACACGGGGGCUACAAGCCCUUACCUAGCAAAAGAUUCUGCAUCAAAGGAGUUGUUUAUGAUUUUCCGAAACAUUAGGGUAUCUCUUAAGCAGGGUGCUAAUUUUGCCAUUCGAUGUUGGACUACCAAGUCAUGUGAGACUGAAGGAUUCCGAGUGUUCAAGUUGGAGGGUAAUAUUAAUGGUCCUCGGUGGGUAGAGAUUGUCGACCUCGGCGAUCGGAUAUUGUUUCUUAGUCGUCUCACCAACAAGUUGGUCUCUUCCGGCAAUGGUCUUAGUUGUUCCUGCAGUGACAAUAAGGAACUCGAAAGAAACUGUAUCUAUUAUGCUUUCGGUUUGCGAUCAGCAUUUUUUCUGCGUCAUCAGUUUGGGGUGGAUACGUUGAAAACUUUUCGUCACUUUGGGGUGUAUUCUUUGACAAAUAGGAGCAUCAAGCAGCCUCAUGUUCUUCCAAAGAAUCAUGCCAGAUCCUUGCACAGACAAUUUGCUUGGAUCACACCAAAUCCAAAUCUUUGGUAGCUAACCCUAGAUAGUUGCUCAAAAUUGUAGCUAUCGCGAUCAGAAAAGAAACCUAUACGAGGUUGGAUACUUGGAUUGCCAAUCUGCCAUUCAUCAGAAAGGCUGGGGUGGAGCAUAAGAUUGACUUCUAUGAAUCAAAAAUGCCUUGUUAGCCCUAACUGAUCUCGUCAACGACGCAAGUUCGUAAUUUGCGAUUUUGUAGUCAUAAUGUAUGGAACUUUAACUUCAUUACUAGUGCAAUAUAUGACGAACUAAAAUAAGAAAUUCACACGUAGUAUUCACCGAUUCAAUUAUAGCUAGCUAGAGCGGCCAGAGGUAGUGCCUCUAGUAAUUAAGCUUAAUUCUUGUCUCGUUGGUUUUUGUUUAUGUAUAAUUGUAUAUGUAUUGCGGGAGUGGAUUCUAAGCACCAAUGUGCACUUGCACUAUUAAUAUAUAAUUGCUCAAAUCGUUGUAUGGAAAGAUCGAAUGAAGACUAGAGACCCCUAAAUUCUUUCCUUUUAUUUUCAUUUUUGAUCCGAUCAAAUUAAACGCCUAUAAUAAAAGUACAUUUUCUUCGACCUAGUGUUCUCACCUCCUUAGUUAGAAACACUUGGGACUUUUUUUUUUUUUAAAUUUUGUUAACGGUAUUAGUAUAUAUGCAUAUAGUGCAACGUAGAUGGUUGGAUCAAAAUACUGCAUAUUAGUUGCUCGGUUCACAUGCAUCUUGGUACGUAGAAGAAUUUUCGAUGUAAUGCUCUGAGUUGAAUGAAUCGACUAUUUUACAUUCUUGGUGCUUAGAUAAAUAAUCUAAUCAUCUGAUGAAUCAUCAUCAUCAUACUCAUUUUUCAAAUCUUCAACUCACCCCCUUCAUGAAUAACAUGUUAGCACAAGAUUUUGUAUAUGAUUCGUUGACAUUCUUAUACAAGCGUACGUUUCAUCAGUAUAUAAGCCUUAUUUGCUGGGUCUAUGUGUCUUUAUGUUGGGCAUGUGUGUCUCUUUUGUUAGGGUUUAUUGUACUUGUAUUUUGGUGUAUCAUUUGAAACAUCUAAUACAAGGGCCUUUAGUGCCUUUGACCCAAAAAAAAAGUACCUCAUUCUGAUGUCAAAAAUAUCUCAGGUAAAUGUAUAUCAUGUAUCUGCAUCAUAUGCACUGGGAUCGAUUGAAUCUAUGUUUCAAUCCCGAGUACGUCGGGCUGAUUAAUUUGGUCGUCUUUAUUUUAGAAAGUAUCUUUCUUGAUUUGUUUGUGAUUUUUAUCAGCUGGUCAAAACUGAUUCAGAAUUGCUUGUGUUUAAUUGCAAAUCCUUUAAAAAAGAUUGUUUUCUUUUUUUAGGAUUAGGUUGAUGAUAUCUAAUUAUAUAUAUAAAGGUCGACGUGCCUUGGUAAAGAUCUUGCAAAACCUACCGUACCUUACAAGUUUCAAUGGCGGUCAUUAGAAAGCUGCUGAGUAAUAAGAACAAACAGAAAAAAUAUGAUUGCGAAGAAGAUCGUGAUGAAGAGAUCAGAACAAGAAGUUGCUCCAAGGAAUUCCUAGAAGAUAUCAUGAGGCUAAUUCUACCACAGCUAUGCAAAUCAGAUUACCUUUCAUGCAGAGUAGUAUGUCAUUCUUGGCGAGCCGCUGUUGAUAAGGCUAUUGAGAGCAAGAACUGCCUUCCUGCUUCUCGACUUCCAUGGCUAAUUUGUCUUGAUUCUCGUCGGCGAUUUCGGGCCAAAGACCAUUGCUUUGUUAAUCAAAAACUUUACAAGUCAGUGGGGAAGUUAGACCGGCUGACUGCUUUUGUUUCUUUUUCUAGGCGCAAAUUAGUCGGGUCAAUUGAGGGGUGGUUGAUCAUGGUUGAACAUAAAACUGUCUACUUCUUGAAUCCAAUAUCGGGUGCCCGAGUGAUGCUCCCAUCGGGAUCCACCAUUCAUUCCUUCAAGAAAGCAGUAGCUUCUACUGUACCAACCAGGUUGCAGCAUUGUCUUGUUGCUAGCCUAAGUAGAAAACACCGUUUGGCCUUCUGUAAGCCAACGGAUAAAUCUUGGACCAUUAUUGAGGUUGAAGGUGAAGAGGAUGAACUCGAGUUUGAUGAUAUCGAAAUAAUCGAUGAGAAACUAUAUGCUGCUACUCACCUUGCAUCAGAAUCUUUAAUGGUGUUUCACAUUUCAUAUGCCGACGGCGGCGGCCCUCCUACCUGCACGGCUGAAUGGUUGGUUAUAAAUCACCCGAGGCUAGUUCGUGAUCAAAUUUUCGAAGAUAUCAUUCCUCCUCCGGGGGAUAAUGGAGUACCGGAGUUCACUUACACGGGGGCUACAAGCCCUUACCUAGCAAAAGAUUCUGCAUCAAAGGAGUUGUUUAUGAUUUUCCGAAACAUUAGGGUAUCUCUUAAGCCGGCUACUUGUUUCGACAUGACUGCUAAGUCAUGCGAGACUCAAGGAUUCCGAGUAUUCAAGUUGGAGGGUAACAU
This 3054-nucleotide long non-coding RNA is filed under the name Fragaria vesca (wild strawberry). RNAcentral's name for it is "long non-coding RNA (FVES_LNC003316)". Lineage: Eukaryota; Viridiplantae; Streptophyta; Magnoliopsida; Rosales; Rosaceae. The record is from RNAcentral.